Long non-coding RNA from Salmo trutta (river trout), 2763 nucleotides. NCBI's taxonomy places the organism in Eukaryota, Metazoa, Chordata, Actinopteri, Salmoniformes, Salmonidae. The record is from Ensembl.
AUAACAUUUUUGACAUGCGUUUUUCUGGAUUUUUUUGUUGUUAUUCUGUCUCUCAUUGUUCAAAUAAACCUACCAUUAAAAUUAUAGACUGAUCAUUUUUUUGUCAGUGGGCAAACAUACAAAAUCAGCAGGGGAUCAAAUACUUUUUUCCCUCACUGUAUGUAAUAGAAUGGGGAAUGGGAAGCACGCUUCAAUUACCGGUUGAGGAAAAAAAAAAAUAAUUGUAGCUAUUUUUAUUCAACCUCCGUUUGCAUUUGUUGAAUUGUUACCCAAUGAUUGGGUUUAUAAAAGCACGUUUAGUCCAGCAGCAACGAAUGAGCUGUUUGAGUAGCUGUAGCUCUCGCGCUGUCUGACAGAUUUUCCACUCAUAGGCUCUCUGUCCAUGUGCUGUGCACGUGUGAUAAACAUAACUACUAACGAAAAUACACGCGCGCCAAUUUAAUUCCACUAAAUUAUGCAAAUGAACCUAUGGACUGAUAAGCAUGACCAAUCAAAAUGUAUUUACAUUGACAGGUAUUUCCAUCGAUGAACAGGCUAAAAAAACGGCAUUUCGCAAUCAGACUUUUUUCAUCUCCCGGGCAAUUGCCGGUGGCAGUUUUUUAUUUAUCGGCUUUCCAUUUUUUGGGCGCCCCAAAGCUGGCUAUUACCUGCUAACGGAAACCCUGGUGUGUGUGUGUUUCUGUGUGUUUGUGUUUGUUACCUUCCAAUCAGGCAAUUCUAGUACUGUAUUUUGUCCUAUUGACUUAUCCAACUUGGAGCCAGGGACUCUCCAAAAAUCAUAGGGUCUGUUUUUGUAGUUUUUCCAAGUAUGACACUUCAUCAACUUUUUAUAAAACCUUUUUUUUUUUUUUCUUCACUCUCUUGCCAUCUCUCGUUCUCUAUUUCCAUCUCUCUUUUCUCUCUCCUCUUCUCCACUAUUCAGGUGGAGUUCCAGGAUGAGUCACAGUUGUUACUGAAGCAAACAGAGAUCCACUCGCUGGAGCAGGACCUGCCCAAAAGGGUCUGCGCCCGCCUGGCAAUACCAACCCAGGAAGGUGUUAGGUCAGGAGAUGAACCACAGGCAGCCAAGCGGCCUCGCCUCCCUGCUUCUCACCCCCCACCUCAAGCCCCCAUGGAUUCAACGCAGCAGCACCUCGGAUGCCACCCCCCAGCUACAGCCCCAGCACCUCACAGUAUUAUACCCACCACCCCCAGCCAUGCGCCUGCUCCCACCAACACUGACAUCAGUGCCCCUACCCUCACACAGGCUCUGGCAAUACCCAUCCCCGAGCCCACCCUUAACCCAAUGCCCGCUCUCCCUAACCCCCGUCUCGCUGACCAUCUCCCAGCCGCCCCCCUGCUGCCCCUGUCUCCAGACAUGCCCUCCCAGCACCAGGGCGAAGUCUACACGCCUAGCUCCAGCUACGUAUCCUACAUGGAGACUCUGCUCAAUGCACAUUUCCCCCCUCAGGAAGAGGGCCCCGGUCCCCUGUUUUAAUGAGACACACCACUCAGCAGUGCUAGCUAGUCUCACAGGAGCUAAGCUAAUGCUAUGAAAGCUAACUUAAUCUAUGCUAACGGGAGCUAGCGGAGACGAAGCUAACGGAGGCUAGCUAAUGGACAGUAGCAUCCGCUACACAGGAGCUGAAAACAGGGCGCAGAGGAAGCACUCUUCAGUUGCAUGUCUUUUUUUCAUUCGAAUUUUCUCACUGUGGUGAUGGGCAGCUCCUGGAACUGCAGCGGAAGAGGAGGCUUCUUUCCCACCUCCGUAUCUUUUCCAUUGUGCAAGACACAAGGUAUAGACAUGAAUAGACUCUCGUGAGCAUCAACGCCGUACCUCUCUACAUCCGUUUAUUUACCCAUUUCCCACACAUUUACAGAAAGGAGAAACCCGUCAUAUGGGCACGUGACGUCAGCAGUCUACGUGCAUCAGCUUUUUGAGUUGUGCUAUAAAACCAGCUACAAGUCUUUUUUUAAAGAAGCCUAACCAACAGCUAACAAUAAAACGGAAAAUCAAAUGGACAGAAUAUUUGUGUACAGUUUCAAUAAUGUAUUUUUUUUUUUUUUUUUGCGAGAGGUCCUGGGAAAAGGGUGGGGGUGUAUUACGGGGGUUUCACAAGUAUUUAAAUGUUUUAGUCACAUAUUGAUAUAAAAUAUUUGUACAAAGAAAAACAUGUUCAAUGCAACCAUGGUAGUUGCACUUUACCGUAAACUUGUCUGCAGAACCAUUGAAUUUUGUGAAGAUGUGUUGCAGUAGUUACGAAUGUGACCUUGUGUCGACUAAACCCAAAAUGGUCAUACACAAAUGGCCGUAUACAAACGGCUCACGUUUUCCAACUCCAGAACUUCUUCUCUGGGCUUGUUUUGUAGCAUUCUUCGUAAAAUGUCAAAUCAAUGUACUAUUCAAUUUUGUCUGUCUGUAUGACUAUUCUUUCUAUGUUUAUUUUGUGAAUAUAUUAACUAACCUCACGAGGUGACAGAGAAAAUGGUUUGAUUAUCAAAUUGUGAUCCUUAUUUUUUGAGAUUUUAGAACCAUAAAUUCAGUUUCUACUCCGGUGAAGAAAUAAGGAAUUUUCAAAUGGUGUGUUGACUCUUUAUAUAGGUGCUGUAAGGUGUCCUGGACUACUGAGGAAGCAUGUUUCUCAUACCCUUAGUCACAUUGUACAUAGUGCAAGCCUUGUGUAUGUGAAUCAAAUCUGUCAAUGUCAUACUAGCCAUUUCGUUUAACUGUUAAAGAGGCUUUAUUUCAUAGGAAUUAAACAGAGUUGCAAUGAUUACUAGCUU